Molecule: non-coding RNA, 30 nt
Filed under: Rattus norvegicus (Norway rat)
Lineage: Eukaryota; Metazoa; Chordata; Mammalia; Rodentia; Muridae
Source: RNAcentral
UGACUAGUCCUAUCAGGGAUUUUACAGAGU